RNAcentral lists this long non-coding RNA (629 nucleotides) under Ursus maritimus (polar bear). RNAcentral's name for it is "lncRNA (ENSUMAG00000002570.1)". Lineage: Eukaryota; Metazoa; Chordata; Mammalia; Carnivora; Ursidae. The record is from RNAcentral.
CAAAGAUUCUGUAAUAUCGCAUCAAGUGGUCCUUAGCCUUUAUUUGAAACGUGUCCAGUGACAGGGAUCUCAGUUCAGGGAUUCCUGAUAGGAUGCUGGUUUGGGUGGCUCCCUCUGCCCUAGAGACCAGUUUUGAGAGGCCAUCUUUUCCCUUCGCAGCCCCGUGGGGAAUGCACGGUGGCAGUGUGUACCUCCUUCUCUGCUUGGCCCCCUGGGCAUACCAGAACCUGGGAAGGGGCCUCUGUGGCUAAGUCAGGGUUGCCCAGUUGGUUACUUGUAAUUUCCCGGGUUUUCUUGGCUGUUGCUUUGAAGUGGAGAUCAUUUGGGCAUCUGGUCCCCAGGGAAUCUGGAAGGAAAAGGGAAGCCCUUGAAAAGAAGAGGACCUUACAGCCUAGUGAACCACCAGGGAGUGAAUGCAUCAGGGGAGCUCUCUGUGGUGAAAAGGGUUUGUAAAACGAAGAUUUAUCCCUCAACUUUACAUGCUGACUUCGUGUAAAACAAGAUUCAGCUGCAAGGUAAAUGUCUGGGUUGAGUCUGGAGGAUGGAUGGUGGAGGACAGCUUGUGUUUUUCUUGAGGAACUUUGAGUUUGGGGAAGUGAAGAGACACCGAUGAGGGCAGGCAGUGGAGA